AUUGAACGCUGGCGGCAUGCUUUACACAUGCAAGUCGAACGGUAACAGGCCGCAAGGUGCUGACGAGUGGCGAACAGGUGAGUAAUGCAUCGGAACGUGCCCAGUCGUGGGGGAUAACGCAGCGAAAGCUGUGCUAAUACCGCGUACGAUCUAUGGAUGAAAGCGGGGGACCGUAAGGCCUCGAGCGAUGGGAGCGGCCGAUGUCAGAUUAGGUAGUUGGUGGGGUAAAGGCUCACCAAGCCAACGAUCUGUAGCUGGUCUGAGAGGACGACCAGCCACACUGGGACUGAGACACGGCCCAGACUCCUACGGGAGGCAGCAGUGGGGAAUUUUGGACAAUGGGCGCAAGCCUGAUCCAGCAAUGCCGCGUGCAGGAAGAAGGCCUUCGGGUUGUAAACUGCUUUUGUACGGAACGAAAAGGUUUGGGUUAAUACCCUGGGCCGAUGACGGUACCGUAAGAAUAAGCACCGGCUAACUACGUGCCAGCCGCCGCUGUAA
Molecule: ribosomal RNA, 498 nt
Filed under: uncultured bacterium
Lineage: Bacteria
Description: partial 16S ribosomal RNA
Rfam family: Bacterial small subunit ribosomal RNA
Source: RNAcentral